Clupea harengus (Atlantic herring) is the source of this 2010-nucleotide long non-coding RNA. The record is from Ensembl. Lineage: Eukaryota; Metazoa; Chordata; Actinopteri; Clupeiformes; Clupeidae.
AGCGCAGUUUUAUCAGUGCGAAACACACACAGGAAUUCCGGUCUGGGAAUGACCGUCCGAUUCCUAACUUCCACAGGAAGAUUAGCAUAAAAAGCUCCCCUACAGCCACAAAUGUGUUUCAUUUCUUGCCAGUCCGCCCUGGGGUCUUUCCAAAUCCACAUCAGCACUAGGAUGUGUGUUAGAAACAGCGUCCUUGUGAACAUUUUUUUUUUUUUCCGAUAUCUGGUCACUUCAGUUGGUACACCUAUAUUCCAGAGCAGACGCACGGCGGGAUGUGCGUUAAGGCAUCGAUUCACAAAGAUAGAAGAGUCGUUUCUGCCUACAAUCAUCUCUAUGAAGCCAUUUCACGGUGCAUUAUUACUUUUGGUACGCGCUAGGCCUGCCUCAAACUCGUACCGUGAGUAAUAAUGCACAGUGGUGGUCACUGCCUGCUUCCCAGCGCCUGGACCCAGAGAGCACAAGGACUUCAACGCAGUGGACCGAGAUUCAAAUGAAAGCAUGUUGAUAUUUGCCACACCAUUUAAACACCACAUUUAUGGCAACCUUUGAUGUAUGUGCAUUAUUAAUGAAACUCAGUGCUCAAUGUGGUUUGUAGUGGACGGGGGGGGGGGGGGGAUGUGUCAAUGCGUGGAGGUCAAGUCAAAUGUUUCAUUGAAAGUGAGGAAGAAGAAUAUAACACCUAACCACCACACAGGUCCCAAAAGAUCCUCACCCGAAAAUAGCCUCCUGAUUGGAACAGAGUAUUAUUAACCCGCAUUUGUUUAUUUAUUUAUUUAUUUAUUGAGGAUCAAGGGGAGGAAGCCUUUCAAGUAUUUUUUAAUAUGGUCCCCUGUUAAUUCCAUCUCCCUCUCUUCCCUAGUAAUUUAUUUUAUUCAAGCUUCACAGCUCCGCUGUCUGGUUUGCAAUCUUCUCGCCCCAGCUGUAAAUUGCUGUCUUAAUGUCCAGCAGGAUUCCAUUUGGCUGGUUGAUUAGCUCCUCCAAGGGUCCUGAUGUGGCAGCGGAAAAAACAUCAGCCUGCUUCAUUUGCUUUCCUGUAGGCUCGGCAGAGAUCUAAACACCGAUUUUAUUUCUCAUAUGACAUGAAUAACCACACAUGAUUGAAAAGAAUGGAGAAAAAAAAACACCAGAACCUGAGUUAAAGAAUGUAAUAAAAAUAUUGCAUGGAUCAAGGAUUUGAACAAGGCCUGGUCUAUUCCUUUAUUUGUCCAUUUUAUUCUUUCUCUCUCAUAUACACACACACACACACACACACACACACACACACACACGAAGAGGGAGCUGUUUGAGUGUUGAUAGCUCACUAAAAUUAGCUUUUUAGCUAAUUAUCUUAAUGAAGACAUUUAGACAGUUAUUGUAAUCAGAUACAAACUCUAUUCUAAUUCUAUUAAUGUUCCUUUUUUAUUGUGUGCUAUUUAUUUUAUUUCAUGAACAUAAUGAUUCAGAUGUAAUUAUAACUGAGAAAUAAUUGUGCCUGUCAGUAAGAAUUGAAGUUACAUUCAAUUAUGCCUCGGUCAUUAAAUGAAAAUAGUAAUUAUUAGAAAGACUGCUUCUUAUGGAGAAAGUCAUCUAAUGUGACUUUUCAAACUCUCCAAUGCUUGUGCAUGUUCCAACAAACAUAAAAGCGGUGCAUGAAUGAAAGUAAAAAUGACAAAAUAAAUCUGCUAUGCAUAGUUUUGAAAUGGAUGUAUCUUGAUAAUUGACUAGCAAUCAUUAACUUGGUGAAUAGUUCUAGUGUUUUGUUUAGGUAAAAGGACUGAUGCAGUGAUGAACACAUGUGGGCAGAAAACUAAGUAAUCACUUCUCUGAAUCACUGUUCUGUUAGCCUUCUCCUAGAGGUGAAAAAACAACAGUUUUAAAGAAACAUUAUAUAUGUAUAACACAGACACACACACACACACACACACAUAAAUGUAUAAAAUGCAGACGCAGACACAGACACACACACACACAUAAAUGUAUACAAUGCAGACACAGACACACACACACACACACACACACAUACAUUUAUAA